UUAAGCGACUAAGCGUACACGGUGGAUGCCCUGGCAGUCAGAGGCGAUGAAGGACGUGCUAAUCUGCGAUAAGCGUCGGUGAGGUGAUAUGAACCGUUAUAACCGGCGAUUUCCGAAUGGGGAAACCCAGUGUGUUUCGACACACUAUCAUUAACUGAAUCCAUAGGUUAAUGAGGCGAACCGGGGGAACUGAAACAUCUAAGUACCCCGAGGAAAAGAAAUCAACCGAGAUUCCCCCAGUAGCGGCGAGCGAACGGGGAGGAGCCCAGAGCCUGAAUCAGUGUGUGUGUUAGUGGAAGCGUCUGGAAAGGCGCGCGAUACAGGGUGACAGCCCCGUACACAAAAAUGCACAUAUUGUGAGCUCGAUGAGUAGGGCGGGACACGUGGUAUCCUGUCUGAAUAUGGGGGGACCAUCCUCCAAGGCUAAAUACUCCUGACUGACCGAUAGUGAACCAGUACCGUGAGGGAAAGGCGAAAAGAACCCCGGCGAGGGGAGUGAAAAAGAACCUGAAACCGUGUACGUACAAGCAGUGGGAGCCUCUUAAUGGGGUGACUGCGUACCUUUUGUAUAAUGGGUCAGCGACUUAUAUUCUGUAGCAAGGUUAACCGAAUAGGGGAGCCGAAGGGAAACCGAGUCUUAACUGGGCGUUAAGUUGCAGGGUAUAGACCCGAAACCCGGUGAUCUAGCCAUGGGCAGGUUGAAGGUUGGGUAACACUAACUGGAGGACCGAACCGACUAAUGUUGAAAAAUUAGCGGAUGACUUGUGGCUGGGGGUGAAAGGCCAAUCAAACCGGGAGAUAGCUGGUUCUCCCCGAAAGCUAUUUAGGUAGCGCCUCGUGAAUUCAUCUCCGGGGGUAGAGCACUGUUUCGGCAAGGGGGUCAUCCCGACUUACCAACCCGAUGCAAACUGCGAAUACCGGAGAAUGUUAUCACGGGAGACACACGGCGGGUGCUAACGUCCGUCGUGAAGAGGGAAACAACCCAGACCGCCAGCUAAGGUCCCAAAGUCAUGGUUAAGUGGGAAACGAUGUGGGAAGGCCCAGACAGCCAGGAUGUUGGCUUAGAAGCAGCCAUCAUUUAAAGAAAGCGUAAUAGCUCACUGGUCGAGUCGGCCUGCGCGGAAGAUGUAACGGGGCUAAACCAUGCACCGAAGCUGCGGCAGCGACACUAUGUGUUGUUGGGUAGGGGAGCGUUCUGUAAGCCUGUGAAGGUGGCCUGUGAGGGUUGCUGGAGGUAUCAGAAGUGCGAAUGCUGACAUAAGUAACGAUAAAGCGGGUGAAAAGCCCGCUCGCCGGAAGACCAAGGGUUCCUGUCCAACGUUAAUCGGGGCAGGGUGAGUCGACCCCUAAGGCGAGGCCGAAAGGCGUAGUCGAUGGGAAACAGGUUAAUAUUCCUGUACUUGGUGUUACUGCGAAGGGGGGACGGAGAAGGCUAUGUUGGCCGGGCGACGGUUGUCCCGGUUUAAGCGUGUAGGCUGGUUUUCCAGGCAAAUCCGGAAAAUCAAGGCUGAGGCGUGAUGACGAGGCACUACGGUGCUGAAGCGACAAAUGCCCUGCUUCCAGGAAAAGCCUCUAAGCAUCAGGUAACAUCAAAUCGUACCCCAAACCGACACAGGUGGUCAGGUAGAGAAUACCAAGGCGCUUGAGAGAACUCGGGUGAAGGAACUAGGCAAAAUGGUGCCGUAACUUCGGGAGAAGGCACGCUGAUAUGUAGGUGAAGCGACUUGCUCGUGGAGCUGAAAUCAGUCGAAGAUACCAGCUGGCUGCAACUGUUUAUUAAAAACACAGCACUGUGCAAACACGAAAGUGGACGUAUACGGUGUGACGCCUGCCCGGUGCCGGAAGGUUAAUUGAUGGGGUUAGCGGUAACGCGAAGCUCUUGAUCGAAGCCCCGGUAAACGGCGGCCGUAACUAUAACGGUCCUAAGGUAGCGAAAUUCCUUGUCGGGUAAGUUCCGACCUGCACGAAUGGCGUAAUGAUGGCCAGGCUGUCUCCACCCGAGACUCAGUGAAAUUGAACUCGCUGUGAAGAUGCAGUGUACCCGCGGCAAGACGGAAAGACCCCGUGAACCUUUACUAUAGCUUGACACUGAACAUUGAGCCUUGAUGUGUAGGAUAGGUGGGAGGCUUUGAAGUGUGGACGCCAGUCUGCAUGGAGCCGACCUUGAAAUACCACCCUUUAAUGUUUGAUGUUCUAACGUGGGCCCCUUACCGGGGUUGCGGACAGUGUCUGGUGGGUAGUUUGACUGGGGCGGUCUCCUCCUAAAGAGUAACGGAGGAGCACGAAGGUUGGCUAAUCCUGGUCGGACAUCAGGAGGUUAGUGCAAUGGCAUAAGCCAGCUUGACUGCGAGCGUGACGGCGCGAGCAGGUGCGAAAGCAGGUCAUAGUGAUCCGGUGGUUCUGAAUGGAAGGGCCAUCGCUCAACGGAUAAAAGGUACUCCGGGGAUAACAGGCUGAUACCGCCCAAGAGUUCAUAUCGACGGCGGUGUUUGGCACCUCGAUGUCGGCUCAUCACAUCCUGGGGCUGAAGUAGGUCCCAAGGGUAUGGCUGUUCGCCAUUUAAAGUGGUACGCGAGCUGGGUUUAGAACGUCGUGAGACAGUUCGGUCCCUAUCUGCCGUGGGCGCUGGAGAACUGAGGGGGGCUGCUCCUAGUACGAGAGGACCGGAGUGGACGCAUCACUGGUGUUCGGGUUGUCAUGCCAAUGGCACUGCCCGGUAGCUAAAUGCGGAAGAGAUAAGUGCUGAAAGCAUCUAAGCACGAAACUUGCCCCGAGAUGAGUUCUCCCUGACUCCUUGAGAGUCCUGAAGGAACGUUGAAGACGACGACGUUGAUAGGCCGGGUGUGUAAGCGCAGCGAUGCGUUGAGCUAACCGGUACUAAUGAACCGUGAGGCUUAACCUU
This 2902-nucleotide ribosomal RNA is filed under the name Escherichia coli. RNAcentral's name for it is "bacterial LSU rRNA". It matches the Rfam family "Bacterial large subunit ribosomal RNA". RNAcentral also lists the same sequence under 31 other names. The record is from RNAcentral. Lineage: Bacteria; Pseudomonadati; Pseudomonadota; Gammaproteobacteria; Enterobacterales; Enterobacteriaceae.